RNAcentral lists this long non-coding RNA (752 nucleotides) under Oryza brachyantha (malo sina). RNAcentral describes it as "long non-coding RNA (OBRA_LNC002066)". Lineage: Eukaryota; Viridiplantae; Streptophyta; Magnoliopsida; Poales; Poaceae. The record is from RNAcentral.
CCCGAGCCCGGUCGAGCCACAGGGACCACCACCACACUUGCAUAUGUCGUCAGGACAAGCUAGCUAGCACGCACAAGGAAGCGGCCCGGGUGUAGCUAGCUCGAGCUUGACGACGACGACGACGACGACGAGGACGAGGAGUCGAGGAGCUAGAACGGCCCGGCGCCGCUAUAUAACUAGGUUUAAGGUCUACGUUGCGCCGGCCCUCUUCCUCCUCUUCGUCUUCCCCUCUCCCUGUUCAUCUCGUGUGUGUGGCGGUGGUGGCGCGCGCUACCGAGCUAGUAGUAGCUUAGCUACCUCUCUCUCUCUCUCUCUCUCUCCCUACUUGGCGAGGAGGAGGAGGAGGAGGAGUGGUGGUAUCGCCAUCAGAGCUCAAUAAUACUAGUGCACGCUCGCCUUGUUUUGUAGCUCUUGUCAGCGAACCUUCCCACCCUGAAAACCCCACCCACCCCCUCGUUCUCUCUCUAGCGAGCGAGCGAGCUCUCUGUCUGUGUUUGUGUGUGUGUUUGGUUGUUUCUUUCUCUCUCUCUCUAGGCGUCGCGGAGCGAGCGGGUGAGUUCGCGCGCCGCGGCGGCCGUGAUCUGUUGGGUUGGCGUGGCGUGAAGCGUGAUCUGGUGUGUGUUGUUUUGGGAGGUUGUGAUCGAUCUGUGUGUGGGAGAGAGAUGGCUGGAGCGGGGGGUGCGGCUGCGGCUGCGGCUGGAGGAGGAGGAGGAGGAGGGGGAGCGGUGGCAGGGAGGAGUGGAGGAGGUGGG